This 400-nucleotide ribosomal RNA is filed under the name Rhizobium leguminosarum. Its description in RNAcentral is "bacterial SSU rRNA". It matches the Rfam family "Bacterial small subunit ribosomal RNA", at positions 22 to 452 of the family's 1533-position model. Lineage: Bacteria; Pseudomonadati; Pseudomonadota; Alphaproteobacteria; Hyphomicrobiales; Rhizobiaceae. The record is from RNAcentral.
GCUCAGAACGAACGCUGGCGGCAGGCUUAACACAUGCAAGUCGAGCGCCCCGCAAGGGGAGCGGCAGACGGGUGAGUAACGCGUGGGAAUCUACCCUUGACUACGGAAUAACGCAGGGAAACUUGUGCUAAUACCGUAUGUGUCCUUCGGGAGAAAGAUUUAUCGGUCAAGGAUGAGCCCGCGUUGGAUUAGCUAGUUGGUGGGGUAAAGGCCUACCAAGGCGACGAUCCAUAGCUGGUCUGAGAGGAUGAUCAGCCACAUUGGGACUGAGACACGGCCCAAACUCCUACGGGAGGCAGCWGUGGGGAAUAUUGGACWAUGGGCGCAAGCCUGAUCCAGCCWUGCCGCGUGAGUGAUGAAGGCCCUAGGGUUGUAAAGCUCUUUCACCGGAGAAGAUAAU